Dermochelys coriacea (leatherback sea turtle) is the source of this 936-nucleotide long non-coding RNA. RefSeq lists it as uncharacterized. The transcript has 3 exons. Lineage: Eukaryota; Metazoa; Chordata; Testudines; Dermochelyidae. The record is from RefSeq and is a predicted model, not a curated record.
AAUAAAUUUGUUAGUCUCUAAGGUGCCACAAGUACUCCUUUUCUUUUUGCGAAUACAGACUAACACGGCUGCUACUCUGAAACAUGUGAGAUCAGGUGCAAAGGUACUAGCUGGUCCCUGGAGAGCAAGGGGUUAACCCCAGCUCAGCUACCCCCUCCCCUUGCACAGGUGCUUAGGAGCAAGGUGACAAGAGGGUUGCUCGGGAAGGGAGUGCUGCAGAGCCUCCCUUAGAGGUCAGGUCUGAAUGCUGCGCUGCGAAGAGGUGAACAUUUUUGUUACAUUCUCCCCAAGGCAGAGACAUUGCUGGCUGCCUCUGAAUUUCUCCAGUUGCCUCCCACGUUUCAUGGGGCAGAAAACUGUAACAAACUUCAUUUUACAGAAAAGUAGCAAUUUUCUGUAUUGCUUUUGCAUCUUUAUGCCUGGCUUCCCUCUUGAAUUUUAAUAUGAAAGGUGAGGCAGGGGAGUUAAGUUUGGUGUGGGAACCUUGCAUGAGAAUUUCUUUUGGGGUCACUGUCAGAGCCUCUGACAUGGGAAGGAGAGGCUGAGCGUGAUCUUGUUGGAGAGCAGGAGCUGCUGGGGCAUGAAGCGGGGUUUUAAGGUGCUCCAGGAAUGAUUAAAGGGCUUAAAGCGCCAAACAUACUGGUAAGACCUGAAGCUAAACUUUCUGCCCCAGCACAGCUUACAGAGAGGAAAGGGGCUCAUGCUAACUCAUGGGAUCUGGCCCACAGAUGAGAAACCCACUGGAGACAGGGAGUGGAGCCUGAUGAAAAGGACAAGAGCCAUCAAGCAACAAGCUUGCGAAUCACCGGAGGCCAGGAUCUGGUCUAUCCCAAAGUAUAACUUUUGUGAACACUUUCUAGACAUUAGUAUAUGUGCACCUGAGCCACUAGGCAGCUCACGGCGGUGGAGUUGCCAGGAGCCCCUGAAGAGGGGGGU